Molecule: long non-coding RNA, 686 nt
Filed under: Olea europaea subsp. europaea
Lineage: Eukaryota; Viridiplantae; Streptophyta; Magnoliopsida; Lamiales; Oleaceae
Source: RNAcentral
CUUGAUUACACAAUUCGUAAUUCACACUUGGUCUUGAAUGCCAAAAGAUUACUCUUGAUAAGUUCGAAUUUUGCUCUAAGAAGAACAAUGGUUUGAAAGCAAGAAUUUGCUUCUCUAACUAAUUCUCUCAAUAAUGUCCAAGUUAUUACAAUGAAAGUAAUGAAGUUUAUUUAUAUAAAACUAAUAAAACCCUAAGGAAAAAGGGAACUAAAGUCCUAUGGAAUUUAAAAGUUACCAAAAAUAAGAAUCCUAGCUAAAAUAAAAGAUUUUGCGUAAAAGGAAAAUUUGGGUCUUGAAUUCUACCAUGAGACUGCAUGAGAUUCUUCAUUGCGGUCACACAAGUCACUUGCAUCACUCCUUUUUUGUCUCGGUCAGCCACCAUUCGAUCGCAUGGGUUACUAUACUGUGUGGUCGUACAGUGUUAUGUCUGAGCUCCAUCUUCGGCUUCUUGUAUUGUGUUGAUCCAAAUGGUUUCAACCAUCAUCCCAAUAUGACACUUUUUUUUUUUUUGCACCACGAUCGAUGUUCCUUCAAUGAUCGAUUGCACAAUUAGUGACAUUGCUUGAUUGACCCGCUUUCCUCUUGAAUGCAUCAUCGAUCCUUCUUGGAUAACCAACAUGUCUCUUUCUGGGCUUGUCUUCGUUGGGCUCAUCUCUUGAAUCACAUCAUUCCCUCCCUCUUCAAAG